This is a long non-coding RNA of Rhagoletis pomonella (apple maggot), 938 nucleotides long. RefSeq lists it as uncharacterized. The record is from RefSeq and is a predicted model, not a curated record. The transcript has 3 exons. NCBI's taxonomy places the organism in Eukaryota, Metazoa, Arthropoda, Insecta, Diptera, Tephritidae.
AACAACAGCAGCUCAGGUGCAAAACGCCAAAAGCUGCAGUUUGAAGAAGAGCUAGAAAAAAUUUGCAAACUGGAUGAUUCCAUUGAACCGGCAAUAAAACUGAGUAGCCAAUGUGUAGUUAAUAAAGAGGUCUCACCAAAAGAAAAUUAAAGAAAGAAGAAAACGAUGCAAGAAACUCUAGUUGAAAUUGCUGCUAGGAAAGAGAAAGCCAGGGAGAAGCGACACAAGGAAAGAAUUGAGAAAGCUACAAGAAUCGAAAGCCUUAUGGAAAAAUGUUUGACUGAAAGCAAACCAGCUUAAACCUGUGGGUGUGCGCGAUAUAGUUAUAAAAUCAGCUCUUGGUUUGCAGGCUUCUGCAAAUGGAUGUAAAAUGAUUGCAAGUGCCUUUCGUUUCCGGCCGAACGUUUCGCCAAAUAACAUUUUCACCGGCGCCCUUCGCUCAUUUACAACAACUGCCUUUUCUCCAUCACCACAUCAUGUCAUUGACGGCCAAAUCCACAUCACCUUUAUACGGCGUGUUCGGAAACACUGCUCUUGCUAGUGGUUCGGAUUUCGGAGCAACUUGAACAGCAACAACGGCACCAACAGAACAUUCGGUUUAACCCUGACAAACCUGUACUUGUACAAACAUUCCCCAAGCCAUACAAAUAUACCCACAUUGACGUUGCUGCCAGUGAUUUUGUAUUGCCAGAUGAGCCGACCGUUGCACCAAUCGUGGCAUUGGCAAAAACACAUUUAUAGAUUUAGGCGUAUAACUAGCGUUUGCAAUUAUACGACAGUUGACGAUUUAUUUAUUUCUUUUUAACUUGAAUCCAUUUUUAUAAUAAUAGGAUUCAUUCGAUAAUAAUAUUAUAUAUAUAUAUAUAUAUAUAUAUAUAUAUAUCACGAUUGAAAGAAUACAAAACUUGCGCCGAUCUCGCUAUUCCUCUACAUUUUUU